Long non-coding RNA from Mus caroli (Ryukyu mouse), 512 nucleotides. RefSeq lists it as uncharacterized. NCBI's taxonomy places the organism in Eukaryota, Metazoa, Chordata, Mammalia, Rodentia, Muridae. The record is from RefSeq and is a predicted model, not a curated record.
UAGAAAUAUGUCAAAAGUAGAUUGUGGUUAUGGGGAAAAGACCGUUAGUUUACAGUGUGCUGCUCGGGCUUAUUGAAAUCAUAUCUUGGUGUCACGCUCAGUUAGAGCCCGGGUGUUAGCAGCCACUUGUGUUGAACAGGGGGAGUUGCUGAUGACUACAGGAGCUGUGAAAGUGGUAGAAGUCGAUGCCGAUCUUCUAUUACUUGGAGAAAUGAAACAGCCAGGAGCCUUUUUGGAACAUUCAAGGAUAGGCAGCCAGCUGUAAAUGACCCAGAAACCAAAGGAGCCCACGGUGGUGGAAGAGAAAUCGAGGCUGGAGUGAGGCUAUCAGAGUGUGUCUCCAUUUCAGCAGCCCUUAUUCAUGUCUACCCAAUUUCUGGUUCAUCUCUCCAUCCUUGAUGCUGAAUGUGCCAUCCCAUUCUCAGUUUACACGAUGACCUCAUCAGAAGCCUUCAUCCCAUGCAGCUGCCAUCUUGUUUGGUCUUGGAUAGGGGAUGAAUAGAUAAGAUGGC